GUUUAGUAGUUAUAGGUUUAGUAUCUAUAGGUUUAGUAGUUAUAAGUUUUGAAUCUAUAGGUUUAGUAUCUAUACAUUUAGUGGUUAAAGGUUUAGUAUCUAUAGGUUUAGCAUCAAUAGGUUUAGUAGUUAGAGAUUUAGUAGUUAUAGGUUUAGUAGUUAUAGGUUUAGUAUCUAUAGGUUUAGUAGUUAUAGGUUUAGUAUCUAUAGGUUUAGUAGUUAUAGGUUUAGUAUCUAUAAGUUUAGUGGUUAUAGGUUAACUGGUUAUAGGUUUAGUUGUUAUAGAAUAAUAUUUUCUACUUUUGUAGCUGUUAGUAAAAAAGAAACUUCCAGGCGCUGGAUAUUAUUUUUCCUUGAAACUGUCCUACCACUGGUUUUUGGAGGUAGACCACACAACAAGGUGUUGAAACAGUAAUCUAAUCUGAACUAUAACUCUUGGCCUGUCAGGUUAAAACUUUUAAAGUGUAAGAGAAUCCAUUUGAAAUACUAUAUGGAGCCGAGAGAGAGAGAGAGAGAGAGAGAGAGAGAGAGAGA
RNAcentral lists this long non-coding RNA (534 nucleotides) under Salmo salar (Atlantic salmon). RNAcentral describes it as "lncRNA (ENSSSAG00000100921.1)". The record is from RNAcentral. Lineage: Eukaryota; Metazoa; Chordata; Actinopteri; Salmoniformes; Salmonidae.